CUGAACCUCACUACUUCUAACCCUAAAAGAGCCAUUAAUAACUCAUCUACCAACUGUGGUUGCCCUGAGACACCCUUCAAUGCUAUUCAGUAUGCUUCAGACAGAGUUCCCACCUGGAGUAUUAUCCCUGCACCAAGUGACAAUCUGCCUUUUCUAAGGGAACUUCCCAACUUUCUGUCUUCGCCAAGAAAAUCCUGUCACAGUGCUGACAUUUGGGGAAGAACUUUUAAAAUAUUUCAAGAUUAAACUGGCUUUCAAAUUGAUUUUCCUUCACUGCACUCAAAUGCUGUGUUAAAGUACUCCAGCAGUAACAAUGGGAAGUCUGAAUUUACUCACUGUGUUCUCAUGGCUAGCUUUGGAGACUUAUCUAAACUUUGCAGGCUGACAUUUCUUGUGAUGUGGUUUGCACGAAAACUUUCCUUUAAAAAAAAAUCUGAAGAAAAUGUAUUUCAUAGUUUUGAACUGAUCAGAGAAGGAGUGGAGCGAAUCGCAGCAGAGGAGUUAUGGUGAGGGCUCCCCUUUCUGCUAUUUUUUGAUCAUUUGGAACAAAUCUGGAUACAAAUCAUCCCUGUACAUGAUGCAUCUGGGGAAGUGCGCUGUGCUUAUUCGUUUAUCUGGAAAGGAACUGAAGGUACCGUAUCUCCUCUAUCAUGAGCUGACAACAACUGAGAAACCCUAAACUCCUUAAGCUUUCUUUUAAAAAGUAGAUUGCAAAAAAUGAAAUGGCACAGAGGAAAUCUCCAGUUAGUAUUCUGGAGUGGCACAAUAUACAGUGGCACAAGGAAAUAGUCACCUUUGGCUACACAGCACAAGGUAGGAAAGAAACUGGAUGUGAUGUUCUCUGAGAAGAACUACCAGCACUGCCAUGGCAUGAACUUUAGGGCAGCAUAGUAUCACACAUAAUUAACAAAAUUCCAGCCCAGAAUUCAAGAGUGUUAGGCAGAAAUACACCAUGCCUUUAUGCUUGGACUCACACCACACAACAUGUGCAAACAUGAUUUCCAAGUUCAGUAGUCAUAGUAUAUUCUGGAUUGAUUUAUGCACAUCUCUAUUCAGGACCUCAAAAAAAUCAAGCUUUUUUCCAGUGAUUUUCCCUCACUUACAGGAGGGGAAAAAUAAGAAAAAGGUGCCCGUGAUCUGCAAAAAAAUGCCAAUUCAAUGUAUGCAUCCAAAGUCAGAAAAUCUUCAUCCUUGGAAAACUGAGGUAGAGGAAGAACUGUGGAUGUUGUUUUACCAGAGAAGAGGCCAGAGGAGCAUACUGCAGGUUACCUGGAUACCGUCUUUUUAUCACAUAGAAGAUGAAUGCAUACACACUGCUUCCAUCUGUGCUCCACCCCUGGGUGGAAGGGAGCAGAGGAAUGCAGUCCCUGCCCAAACUCCAGACUGGGUUGGCCUUCAUCACCUUCUCUUCUUCCCUUCCACCUCCCCCAUCCUGGCCAGCACACUUCACAGGGACUUCACAGGUCAGGGUGCUCCUGACCAUCACUGAUAUCAGUAACACUAAAGAUUGCUUUAGGGCUCAACAGUAGGUUUGUCACAUUUCUAAUUUAGAGAUCACAGCUUCAUCACGUGGCCUGGGCAACGUGGGUGGGGUGGACAACUGGGAUAGGUAAGCUGGUCCACCAUUGGCGCUGCAGAUCCCCUCCUCUGUUCCCUCAUGUAAACAGACAUCAACACAUGGCUGCCUCCCUUCAUUCAGAUCCUUCCUGUAAUUCCUUUUGAGAGCUGGAACGUUUGUGUCCAGAUCAUAAAACUGUGAUUUACGCUUCUAAGUGUAUGGAUAAGGAGAAGACAACAGCAUCUCACAAGGGCAUGGAAACCACAACCCAAAAAAAUCUGUAUUGAUCAGUCCAAAGCCUGAUAUGAAAUAAAUAAGAUCUGCA
RNAcentral lists this long non-coding RNA (1883 nucleotides) under Coturnix japonica (Japanese quail). Its description in RNAcentral is "lncRNA (ENSCJPG00005016838.1)". Lineage: Eukaryota; Metazoa; Chordata; Aves; Galliformes; Phasianidae. The record is from RNAcentral.